This 253-nucleotide unclassified non-coding RNA is filed under the name uncultured Nocardioidaceae bacterium. RNAcentral describes it as "contains 16S-23S intergenic spacer region". It matches the Rfam family "Bacterial small subunit ribosomal RNA", at positions 524 to 776 of the family's 1533-position model. The record is from RNAcentral. Lineage: Bacteria; Bacillati; Actinomycetota; Actinomycetes; Propionibacteriales; Nocardioidaceae.
UACGUAGGGUGCGAGCGUUGUUCGGAAUUAUUGGGCGUAAAGGGCUCGUAGGCGGUUUGUCGCGUCGGGAGUGAAAACCCAGGGCUUAACCCUGGGCUUGCUUUCGAUACGGGCAGACUGGAGGCAUGCAGGGGAGAACGGAAUUCCUGGUGUAGCGGUGAAAUGCGCAGAUAUCAGGAGGAACACCGGUGGCGAAGGCGGUUCUCUGGGCAUGUCCUGACGCUGAGGAGCGAAAGUGUGGGGAGCGAGCGGG